GUUAAUGCGAGGAAGUGAAAUAGUAAUCAUGGAAAGUGUCCAGAGAGAGGACGGCAGGUGCGAGUCUUUCACGGAACAUGAUGAACCGGUCAUGGAGCUGCAUACCGAAUGGAAACAUCAGGCUAUGCCGGGUUCUCCCGUUACAGAGAUAAGGUAUCAAUGAAAAUUUGUACCGGAGUGCAGGAACAUCCUGAAAUUAGGUGGUACCGCGGAUUAAGAUAAUUCGUCCUAAGC
Molecule: non-coding RNA, 234 nt
Filed under: Roseburia intestinalis
Lineage: Bacteria; Bacillati; Bacillota; Clostridia; Lachnospirales; Lachnospiraceae
Description: T-box sequence
Rfam family: T-box leader
About the family: Uncharged tRNA acts as the effector for transcription antitermination of genes in the T-box leader family. T-boxes are found upstream of many aminoacyl-tRNA synthetase genes and some amino acid biosynthetic genes usually in Gram-positive bacteria. The anticodon of a specific tRNA base pairs to a specifier sequence within the T-box motif, and the NCCA acceptor tail of the tRNA base pairs to a conserved bulge in the T-box antiterminator hairpin.
Source: RNAcentral